CCCGCUGAACUUAAGCAUAUUAUUAAGCGGAGGAAAAGAAACUAACUAGGAUUCCCUUAGUAGAGGCGAUUGAACAGGGAGAAGCACAAAAUGUAAAUCGGGCAGCAAUGUCUGAAUUGUAGUCUCACAACGCGUUACCAGGAGUCAUGCAGGGGUAAUUUCUCUGGAACGAGAAACCAAAGAGGGUGACAGUCCCGUUCUUACUCUGUAAUGACUCUAUACGGUGCGUGCUUUAAGAGUCGCGUUCCUUGGGAUUGGAGCGCUAAGUGGGUGGUAAAUUUCAUCUAAUGCUAAAUAUUGGUGGGAGACCGAUAGCGAACAAGUACCGUGAGGGAAAGAUGAAAAGAACUUUGAAAAGAGGGUUAAAAGUGCCUGAAAUUGCUGGUAGGGAAGCGGAUAGAAUUGUCCUUGAUUAGGGGAAUGGCGAUUGAGAAAGCUGAAAAUUUGAGUUCACCGAAAGGGAAUCUCUUAUUGUAGGCCCAAUUGGUCGUCUGUCUUCCUCUAGUCUUAGUUAGCACCGGUUGUGACUGUGUCAAAACCCCUGUUCGUAAGGCCUCGGCUGAGUGGAUAGGUCGGUUGGCACGGAUGCUACCGUUUAUAGUUGCUGACAAACCGAUUCUAUCCGACCCGUCUUGAAACACGG
Molecule: ribosomal RNA, 643 nt
Filed under: uncultured fungus
Lineage: Eukaryota; Fungi
Description: eukaryotic LSU rRNA
Rfam family: Eukaryotic large subunit ribosomal RNA
Source: RNAcentral